Molecule: transfer RNA, 70 nt
Filed under: Cavia porcellus (domestic guinea pig)
Lineage: Eukaryota; Metazoa; Chordata; Mammalia; Rodentia; Caviidae
Rfam family: tRNA
About the family: Transfer RNA (tRNA) molecules are approximately 80 nucleotides in length.
Source: Rfam by way of RNAcentral
UGGGGCGUGGCUCAGAGGCAGUGCGUGUGCUUCACAUGCACAAAGCCUGGGUUUGAUCCCAGCACCAAAA